GUGGGAUAAGAAUGCUUAAGGAAAAAACUGGGGAAGAAAUGAGAGAUAUAGAAGAAUUGGAAAGGGAAUUAAAAGCUUGGCACUAGAAAUAUAAAACUCUAUCCAAGCAACAAACUCCCUGAAAAUUCAUAUGGACAGAACAGAAGCUAAUCAAUUUACCUGGCAACAAGAAAUAUUAAAAAAAAAGUCAAGAGGCUCACAAAAUGGAAUAAAAUAUAAAUUAUCUCACAGCAAAAACAACUGACUAGAAAGGACAGCUCAAAGACAAAAAAAAAUAAGUCACUGUACAUCUGAACACCAUGACCAAAGAAAGAGCUUGGCCAACCUCAUUCAAGAAAUCUUUAAAGAAAUUUGCCUAAAGAUCUUAGAAACAAAGGAAAAAAUAGAAAUAAAAAGAAGCAAGCAGGCACCUCCUUAAAGAAACACCAAAAUGAAACUCUUGGGAAAAUCAUAGUCAAAAUCCAAAUUUUUCCCUGGUAAAAAAAAGCAUACUGCAAGAAGUCAGAAAAAAAGAAUUCAGGUAACAAAAAGUCAGUCCCGAUAUAGCAGCCACCAUUUAAGGAGCAAAGAAUUUGAAAUGUGAUAUUCCAGAAGGCAAAGGAUAUGGGCUUAUAGCCAAGAAUAAUUUAUUAAAACUUAGCAUAAUAUAGACAAUUCUCCUUUACAUCUGUCUUUAGACCUCUAUAUAAUGUUAUUUUUACAUAAUUCUGGGAGGGUGAGUGGAAGGGGACCUUGAACCCUGGGAGGAAGGGAGCCAACAUGAGGUUCAAGGACAGGACCAGAGGAACAGGGAGGGACCAGACAUGUUGGGGCCAGACACAGACUGGAGAGAAUAGGUUACAAGGGCAGGGGAGAGAUACUCAAUACCACAUCAAAGAUAGCUGAAAGUCAGUGAGGACACUUGGCCCAUGGGUUAGAAUGGGGCAAAAGUCUCUUCUCUAUGUUCAGGAAAUCUCACGCCAAGUGGUUUAUAUCAGUUCCUUUGCUUCCACUUGGAGGGGUUUUUCUUGUUGUUGUUUUUUCUAUUUUUUUAAAUGGGGGGAUAGAAGGCUGAAGAUCCCAUGGGCAGGAAUGGAGAGAGAGCACAGAAUUUAGUGCAGCUGGGAGAAAAAUGUUGACAACUAAGGAGGUAAUGACGAGAAGAAUUGAGUUCUAGCUUUCCCUGCUGACUGAAAACCAUUCUGCUUGCCAC
RNAcentral lists this long non-coding RNA (1192 nucleotides) under Monodelphis domestica (gray short-tailed opossum). RNAcentral describes it as "lncRNA (ENSMODG00000038578.1)". Lineage: Eukaryota; Metazoa; Chordata; Mammalia; Didelphimorphia; Didelphidae. The record is from RNAcentral.